Molecule: transfer RNA, 71 nt
Filed under: Candidatus Doudnabacteria bacterium CG10_big_fil_rev_8_21_14_0_10_41_10
Lineage: Bacteria; Candidatus Doudnaibacteriota
Description: tRNA-Cys
Rfam family: tRNA
About the family: Transfer RNA (tRNA) molecules are approximately 80 nucleotides in length. Their secondary structure includes four short double-helical elements and three loops (D, anti-codon, and T loops). Further hydrogen bonds mediate the characteristic L-shaped molecular structure. tRNAs have two regions of fundamental functional importance: the anti-codon, which is responsible for specific mRNA codon recognition, and the 3' end, to which the tRNAs corresponding amino acid is attached (by aminoacyl-tRNA synthetases). tRNAs cope with the degeneracy of the genetic code in two manners: having more than one tRNA (with a specific anti-codon) for a particular amino acid; and 'wobble' base-pairing, i.e. permitting non-standard base-pairing at the 3rd anti-codon position.
Source: RNAcentral
GGCGUGAUGGCCGAGCGGUUAGGCAGAGGUCUGCAAAACCUCGUACAUGGGUUCGACUCCCGUUCACGCCU